AGUAGGGUCAGCUAAAUUAAGCUUUCGGGCCCAUACCCCGACAAUGUUGGUCCAAGCCCCUCCUCUACUA
Molecule: transfer RNA, 70 nt
Filed under: Gekko vittatus (white-lined gecko)
Lineage: Eukaryota; Metazoa; Chordata; Lepidosauria; Squamata; Gekkonidae
Description: tRNA-Met
Source: RNAcentral